UGCAAGUCGCACGCGCGGAGCUUGCUCCGUGAGUGGCGCACGGCUGAGGAUCACGUGGGAACAUGCCUCCUUGUGGGGGACAACAGCGCGAAAGCGCUGCUAAUCCCGCAUACGCUCGGUGACGAGGAAAGCCGCAAGGCGCAGGGAGAGUGGCCCGCGGCCCAUCAGGUGGUUGGUGGGGUAAUGGCCUACCAAGCCGAUGACGGGUAGCUGGUCUGUGAGGACAGACAGCCAGACUGGGACUGAGACACGGCCCAGACUCCUACGGGAGGCAGCAGCAAGGAAUUUUCGUCAAUGGGCGCAAGCCUGAACGAGCAACGCCGCGUGGAGGAUGACGGCCUUCGGGUUGUAAACUCCUUUUGCGGGGGACGAUGAUGACGGUACCCCGCGAAUAAGGCUCGGCUAACUCUGUGCCAGCAGCCGCGGUAAUACAGAGGAGCCAAGCGUUGUCCGGAUUGACUGGGCGUAAAGCGCACGCAGGCGGAUGUGCGCGUGGGGUGUGAAAUCUGGCCGCUUAACGGCCAGGCGCCAUCCCAUACGGCACAACUGGAGGGCUGCAGAGGUCGAUGGAAUUGCCGGUGUAGUGGUGAAAUGCGUAGAGAUCGGCAGGAACACCCAGGGGGAAACCAGUCGACUGGGCAGCACCUGACGCUGAGGUGCGAGAGCGUGGGGAGCGAACCGGAUUAGAUACCCGGGUAGUCCACGCCGUAAACGAUGGCCACUCGGCCUUUGGGGGCGGAAUCUCCGUCCGUGGGGGCCUUAGCUAACGCGGGAAGUGGCCCGCCUGGGAACUACGAGCGCAGGCUUAAAACUCAAAGGAAUUGACGGGGCCCGCACAAGCAGCGGAGCGUGUGGUUUAAUUCGACGCAACGCGCAGAACCUUA
Molecule: ribosomal RNA, 884 nt
Filed under: uncultured Roseiflexus sp.
Lineage: Bacteria; Bacillati; Chloroflexota; Chloroflexia; Chloroflexales; Roseiflexaceae
Description: bacterial SSU rRNA
Rfam family: Bacterial small subunit ribosomal RNA
Source: RNAcentral